AGUGAACGCUGGCGGUAGGCCUAACACAUGCAAGUCGAACGGCAGCACAGUAAGAGCUUGCUCUUACGGGUGGCGAGUGGCGGACGGGUGAGGAAUACAUCGGAAUCUACUUUUUCGUGGGGGAUAACGUAGGGAAACUUACGCUAAUACCGCAUACGACCUACGGGUGAGAGCAGGGGAUCUUCGGACCUUGCGCGAUUGAAUGAGCCGAUGUCGGAUUAGCUAGUUGGCGGGGUAAAGGCCCACCAAGGCGACGAUCCGUAGCUGGUCUGAGAGGAUGAUCAGCCACACUGGAACUGAGUCACGGUCCAGACUCCUACGGGAGGCAGCAGUGGGGAAUAUUGGACAAUGGGCGCAAGCCUGAUCCAGCCAUACCGCGUGGGUGAAGAAGGCCUUCGGGUUGUAAAGCCCUUUUGUUGGGAAAGAAAAGCAGCAGGUUAAUACCCCGCUGUUCUGACGGUACCCAAAGAAUAAGCACCGGCUAACUUCGUG
RNAcentral lists this ribosomal RNA (492 nucleotides) under uncultured bacterium. RNAcentral describes it as "partial 16S ribosomal RNA". It matches the Rfam family "Bacterial small subunit ribosomal RNA", at positions 29 to 507 of the family's 1533-position model. The record is from RNAcentral.